AACGCACAUUGCGCCCGCUAGUAUUCUGGCGGGCAUGCCUGUUCGAGCGUCAUUUCAACCCCUCGGGAACCCCUUUCGGGGCCCCGGCGUCGGGGGAACCGCCUGCGAGGGCGGCCCCCUAGAAUCAUUGGCGGACCCCCCGCGGAAUCCGAGCGCAGUAACCACAAAUUUCUCGCUAAGGACAAACGCUGAGGAGCCCUGCCGUAAAACCCCCAACUUCUCCAAAGGUUGACCUCGGAUCAGGUAGGAAUACCCGCUGAACUUAA
RNAcentral lists this unclassified non-coding RNA (266 nucleotides) under uncultured fungus. RNAcentral describes it as "partial contains 5.8S ribosomal RNA, internal transcribed spacer 2, and large subunit ribosomal RNA". The record is from RNAcentral. Lineage: Eukaryota; Fungi.